UUACGAUUACGAAGGACGAUUGCUACAUAAUUCUGACAAAUAGCGCCAUACAUGAUCAAAUAGCAAUAGAUAGAAAUAAUUCAUGAUAUUACUUUAAUUUCUAAAUCGCUCUAAAGUGGCAGUCUUGAGAUUUAUAUUAAUACAUAAUAUUUGAAAAAAUAAUAUUGACAACAAAUAUCGUGCAAUUUUCCACUUCGCCAACAGUUUUUACAGAAUGUUUUAUCAUCAAAGUAUCUAGAAUCAUUUUUGACAUUUGAAGGUAGUUUAAUAUCUACCUUUCAAAUGUCGAUUUUUAUUAAACGAAACGGUUAUAGAUCGACAACCAUGCACUACUUUCAAACCUUACUACAUCACCACCCCAGUUAGACGUUGUGAUCACAUCGUUAUCAGUUCGAGAAUUAUUUCAAAAUUAUUUCGUUGGAGAGAUAUCAUCAGAAGAAACUAAGGUUCGAAAAUGUCUUCAGAAACGCUAUCACCAAAUUCAAUACACAUGAUGGAAUAUUUACAAUCAAUGUUUGAUGAGGCAGUUAAGACAGCGUAUGUAUUAUGCAUCGAUGAUGAGCUUCCCUCGAAUGAAAAUAGUAAUAAUGAAAAGGCAAAUGCACAGCCACGAUUAAUCCCGUACACCCCUCCACCAGGUAAUUCCAUUAACAGUACUCUCGAAACUGAAGGCAACACUGGACCAUAUGAGUUAAACUCGAUUGAAAAAACAAAAAAUGGUUAUACCAAAAAAUAUUCAAUCAAGAUUAAUACAGAAAAAUCAAAAAAAUCAUGUGUAAGGACUUCAUUCGAGGAAUUUGCAGAAGGGGAAAUGAUUGUAUUUAUUCCCAUGAACUAGAUUUAAAACAACUGAAUGGAGUCUACAAGUUUUGUCGCGAUUAUGUAAAAGGAAAUUGUUACAGAAAGUUUUGUAUUUUCGUUCAUGCUACCAUAUUUGAGAGAGAAAAUUACUUUAGAACUGGUUUUUUGCCACCUCAUACUCUGAGACACUUGAAAGAAAGAAAUGUAAGGCGCCCGUAAUGUAUUCGAGUAGGUCCAUCGCGUGAAAAUAUAGAGUCUGUAUAUGCAAAGAUACCUUCUGAUUUAUACGCAUGGUAUAUAAAAUUCUAAAUAUACAUUAAUAUAGCUUCAUCGACCACCGUACUAAAACAUAAAACCUAUUGUAUAGGUAUUAAUUAUCUUU
This is a long non-coding RNA of Galleria mellonella (greater wax moth), 1183 nucleotides long. RefSeq lists it as uncharacterized. Lineage: Eukaryota; Metazoa; Arthropoda; Insecta; Lepidoptera; Pyralidae. The record is from RefSeq and is a predicted model, not a curated record. The transcript has 3 exons.